GUCCAGUACUGGUGUGAAGCCAAGCUAGAACUGGGACCAGAAGGACCACAGCCCCCUCCAGUGGUGAAGUCACAGAACAUCACUACUGUGGUCCUCUUUGGUCCACAGCUCGUUUGUCCUACAAAACUGCAGGUGAGAGAGGGACAGAGCCUCAGCUGUGAAGUGAGAGGAAACCCUCAACCAGAAGUCUUAUGGUUCAGAGAUGGGCAGGCGGUUGCCCUGCCCACUCACUCAAGCAGAAAGGAUACUGGGAAAUACACAGCCGUCACAAGAGGACAUCUUGGACUGAAAAACUUUACAGUGGAUGUGGAGGUCCUUACUGGCAGUGGAACUGCAAACAGCUGUAACAGACACCUGUUGGCAGUUUUGCUCAUUCAGAUAAUCAGCUGGCUGUAAAAACUCCUAAAAGAACCCAACCUGAUAUUCCCAUGCUGUCUGGAUGAACUGCUCCUGCUGUCAAAAAAAAAAAUCUUCAUCCGGGUUGACUUAUUGCUUUGUUUUCACAUGGAUCAGAUUCACAUCAAUAUAUCUGCAUCUUCUUUUUCAACACUCCAAAAAAAACAACUGAGUCUCUUUAUAAGCAGAUGAAAGUUCUCUUUUUGAGUGUGUCUGUCCAGGUACAUUUUCUUAUGUUAAUAAACUGACGUGUCAAUAUAAUCUGCACAAAAGGUAAAUUUCAUCUUCCAGACUGAAAGCUGCUCAAGAGAGAAAUUCACAGUCUAGUUUUGCACAACUUAAACAAACAUAUUUGUGUGACCGCGUUUCCCCCUUGUUUAUUUUAAGAUGAUUUUUAGGAACUGACUGAAUCAUUUGCCGAACAACGUGGGUCUUUCCUGUGUUCAGUCUUCUUUCACAGAGGUUAUGUUCUGUCUGCUGUACAUUAAAAUGCUGAACUAUCGUGUCCAACAGCAGUACUUCUUGCUUUAGACUUGAACUCAUACAACUACGAAAUAUUGCCACAAUGGACCUCAUUCUUCAUCUUCCUAGUUUUUCUCUUUAUUUCGUUUUUUUUACACUUGUUCUUGAGAAAGGUUCAAAGAAAUGUCUACGCUAGAUAAGACUAUUUAGCUCAAAACAAAUGGUUAUACAAUAUGCAAGCUCUUUAUUAUUUAUUAAUUCAAAGUAAAUCAUUUACAUUUUAAACACAUGUUAAAGAGUCAUUAUCACAGGUAGUACAUGUCAAGAUCAGAAACAGAUAAGGUAGAUGUUAAUUUCUCUGUUCAUUGGUAAAAGUGCCACUUUUCCCCUUCAUGGGUCAAACCCAUUAGUAUUACUUUUACCUUUAGUUUCUUUCCAUCUCAGAUGAUAUACUCAUACAAACAAGUAAAAAUGACAGAAAGCACACAAACUUCAUCUGAGAGUCACAGCUUUUGGCUAUAGACAAAAAGUUAGAUAAUUGGGAUCCUCACUGCUGUUUGUUAGAAUCCCAUUAUGUGCCCAGUCCGUUUCCAAAGGAACCUGCUCCCAUCUAGAAAGAAAAUAAAUGGAUAAAAGACAUCAUACAGCAUUGUUAUUGACAUCGAAGCUAAUUGAAAUCUACAAGGUAUCAGGCAGCACUUGAUAUUAUAUAUUAGGAAGAUGUCACCAAAUAUGGAUGGUUAUAUUCUUUAGUAAAUAAUGUGAAAAAAAAACAAAACAAAAAAA
Molecule: long non-coding RNA, 1644 nt
Organism: Morone saxatilis (striped sea-bass)
Lineage: Eukaryota; Metazoa; Chordata; Actinopteri; Moronidae
Exons: 3
Source: RefSeq, a predicted model, not a curated record